RNAcentral lists this ribosomal RNA (1486 nucleotides) under uncultured Bacillus sp. Its description in RNAcentral is "bacterial SSU rRNA". It matches the Rfam family "Bacterial small subunit ribosomal RNA". The record is from RNAcentral. Lineage: Bacteria; Bacillati; Bacillota; Bacilli; Caryophanales; Bacillaceae.
CGGCCUUAGCGGGCAGCUAUACAUGCAGUCGAGCGGACAGAUGGGAGCUUGCUCCCUGAUGUUAGCGGCGGACGGGUGAGUAACACGUGGGUAACCUGCCUGUAAGACUGGGAUAACUCCGGGAAACCGGGGCUAAUACCGGAUGGUUGUUUGAACCGCAUGGUUCAAACAUAAAAGGUGGCUUCGGCUACCACUUACAGAUGGACCCGCGGCGCAUUAGCUAGUUGGUGAGGUAACGGCUCACCAAUGGUCAACGGAUGCGUUAAGCCGAACUGAGAGGGUGAUCGGCCACACUGGGACUGAGAACACGGCCCAGACUCCUACCGGAGGCAGGCAGUAAGGAAUCCUCCGCCAAUGGACGAAAGUCUGAACGGAGCAACGCCGCCGUGAAGUGAUGAAGGUUUUCGAAUCGUAAAGCUCUGUUGUUAGGGAAGAACAAGUACCGUUCGAAUAGGGCGGUACCUUGACGGUACCCUAACCCAGAAAGCCACGGCUAACUACGUGCCAGCAGCCGCGGUAAUACGUAGGUGGCAAGCGUUGUCCGGAAAUUAUUGGGCGUAAAGGGCUCGCAGGCGGUUUCUUAAGUCUGAUGUGAAAGCCCCCGGCUCAACCGGGGAGGGUCAUUGGAAACUGGGGAACUUGAGUGCAGAAGAGGAGAGUGGAAUUCCACGUGUAGCGGUGAAAUGCGUAGAGAUGUGGAGGAACACCAGUGGCGAAGGCGACUCUCUGGUCUGUAACUGACGCUGAGGAGCGAAAGCGUGGGGAGCGAACAGGAUUAGAUACCCUGGUAGUCCACGCCGUAAACGAUGAGUGCUAAGUGUUAGGGGGUUUCCGCCCCUUAGUGCUGCAGCUAACGCAUUAAGCACUCCGCCUGGGGAGUACGGUCGCAAGACUGAAACUCAAAGGAAUUGACGGGGGCCCGCACAAGCGGUGGAGCAUGGUGGUUUAAUUUCGAAGCAACGCGAAGAACCUUACCAGGUCUUGACAUCCUCUGACAAUCCUAGAGAUAGGACGUCCCCUUUCGGGGGGCAGAGUGACAGGUGAUGCAUGAUUGUCGUCAGCUCGUGUCGUGGAGAUGUUGGAUUAAGUCCCGCAACGGAGCGCAACCCUUGAUCUAACUUGCCAGCAUUCAGUUGGGCACUUCUAAGGUGGACUGCCGGUGACAAACCGGAGGAAGGUGGGGAUGACGUCAAAUCUAUCAUGCCCCUUAUGACCUGGGCUACACACGGUGCCUAACAAUGUGACAGAAUCAAAGGGCAGCGAAACCGCGAGGUUAAGCCAAUCCCACAAAUCUGUUCUCAGUUCGGAUCGCAGUCUGCAACUCGACUGCGUGAAGCUGGAAUCGCUAGUAAUCGCGGAUCAGCAUGCCGCGGUGAAUACGUUCCCGGGCCUUGUACACACCGCCCGUCACACCACGAGAGUUUGUAACACCCGAAGUCGGUGAGGUAACCUUUAGGAGCCAGCCGCCGAAGUGGACAGAUGGGUU